AGGAUGUGGAAAGCCAUUUGGAGCGGGU
RNAcentral lists this non-coding RNA (28 nucleotides) under Bombyx mori (domestic silkworm). The record is from RNAcentral. Lineage: Eukaryota; Metazoa; Arthropoda; Insecta; Lepidoptera; Bombycidae.